GGGUGAUUAGAUCAGUUGGUUAGAUCGUUACGUUGACAUCGUAAAGGUCACUGGUUCGAGUCCAGUAUCACCCACCA
This 77-nucleotide transfer RNA is filed under the name Mollicutes bacterium. RNAcentral describes it as "tRNA-Val". It matches the Rfam family "tRNA". Rfam says of the family: Transfer RNA (tRNA) molecules are approximately 80 nucleotides in length. Their secondary structure includes four short double-helical elements and three loops (D, anti-codon, and T loops). The record is from RNAcentral. Lineage: Bacteria; Bacillati; Mycoplasmatota; Mollicutes.